AUGAACGCUGGCGGCGUGCCUAAUACAUGCAAGUCGAGCGAACAGACGAGGAGCUUGCUCCUCUGACGUUAGCGGCGGACGGGUGAGUAACACGUGGAUAACCUACCUAUAAGACUGGGAUAACUUCGGGAAACCGGAGCUAAUACCGGAUAAUAUAUUGAACCGCAUGGUUCAAUAGUGAAAGACGGUUUUGCUGUCACUUAUAGAUGGAUCCGCGCCGCAUUAGCUAGUUGGUAAGGUAACGGCUUACCAAGGCAACGAUGCGUAGCCGACCUGAGAGGGUGAUCGGCCACACUGGAACUGAGACACGGUCCAGACUCCUACGGGAGGCAGCAGUAGGGAAUCUUCCGAAAGGGGCGAAAGCCUGACGGAGCAACGCCGCGUGGGUGAUGAAGGUCUUCGGAUCGUAAAACUCUGUUAUUAGGGAAGAACAAAUGUGUAAGUAACGAUGCACGUCUGGACGGUACCUAAUCAGAAAGCCACGGCUAACUACGG
This 495-nucleotide ribosomal RNA is filed under the name uncultured bacterium. RNAcentral describes it as "partial 16S ribosomal RNA". It matches the Rfam family "Bacterial small subunit ribosomal RNA", at positions 29 to 506 of the family's 1533-position model. The record is from RNAcentral.